Molecule: small RNA, 99 nt
Filed under: Salmonella enterica subsp. enterica serovar Heidelberg
Lineage: Bacteria; Pseudomonadati; Pseudomonadota; Gammaproteobacteria; Enterobacterales; Enterobacteriaceae
Also listed under: 7 other names
Description: partial RtT sRNA
Rfam family: RtT RNA
About the family: This family represents a bacterial cis-regulatory element known as RtT RNA.
Source: RNAcentral
CGACCAAGGUUCGAUUCGAGCGCAGCGAGAAAGCGUUGCCGCAGGCAACGACCCGAAGGGCGAAGCGCGCAGCGCUGAGUCAUCCUUCCCCCACCACCA